Molecule: long non-coding RNA, 1875 nt
Organism: Olea europaea var. sylvestris
Lineage: Eukaryota; Viridiplantae; Streptophyta; Magnoliopsida; Lamiales; Oleaceae
Exons: 2
Source: RefSeq, a predicted model, not a curated record
ACGUGAAUGCUAGGUUUUUGAUAACUGGGUGCAUAUAUGUUCGACGUUGAUGAAAUAUGUCAUUACAUUGAGACUUAUUUGCUCUACACAUGUUGCUUAGUGCCCCAUCUUAUUCUUCAUACACCUGGAAUACUUGAUUGCCUGUUUUCUUAGUCCUUGAGCCUAUUGUCUUGUACUAUUUUCUCCUGAAUCGAGUACCAGGAUAUGUAACCUAAUUAGGUCACUUAGAGGUGAAGAUCCUGGCAGAACGUCUAUAUCUUGUUUUGGGGCUGUGGUGCAGGGGCAUCAGGGAAGCUGAAGGUGAAUACUGACAUGGAAUUUACUGUUAGUGUCUGCCUAUUUAUUUCAAAUGAUUAGUGAUUCAUUUAAUAUAAUGUCAAAAACCAUUCUGGGAAAUGCGGAAUACUAGCGGUAGUCUCUCUAGCGGGCACUGGCUAAAAUUGCCUUUCCACAAGAGAUGCAAAUGCUAUAAUUCAAUGGUUUACUGGGAAGUUUUGAGCCAGGUUAAACUUCUGCACAAGGAGCUUUCUGGUAAAAAAUGAAAGUUAAAACUAAAAUAAUGGCAUUUUAUGUGAGACAAAGAUAGGCUGUCAAGAAUGUAGAGGAGGUAGGUUGGGUAGUUGGUCAGAACUCUAGUGAUAACAGGCUGAUCUUCCCCAAGAGCUCACAUCGAUGGGAAGGUUUGGCAACUUUCAAUUUUUGUCCAAGAUAGUUGUUGGUAUGUCUAAGAGAGUGGGAGUCUUUUGAAACUAUACUAUGUAUUUUACAUAGAGACGGUUGGUGUUAGAGAAAUAAGAGCCAGUGUUAGAGAAAUAAGAGCGAGGAUUGAAUUGUAGUAUUGUAGCACUUCGCUGUGCCAUGGCUGUCAUGGACCGCUUGGUGGCUUAGCAGAUGUCCAUAACCGUAAGGGGACGACAAGAAGUUAUUUUGACAACUAUGUAUUUGACACUUUUGUGCAAUAAACAUACGUAUGUAGACACGGGGUACCAGAUACUAAUGUACAAAUUUAUCUGCAUAGAUUUUCUGAUCUUCACUGAUUCAAUCAAUACGAGAUACUAGUAUAUACUAAUUUACCGUUUAAGUUUGCUGGUUCAACUUUUGAAUCUUUUCCUUCUUGUGGUUACUUCUUGUCAGUUAGAGUGGGGAGAUAUUUAAUCUUUGUCUUUAUUUACUACUCUAAUAAUCUCAAACUCUUCAUCUUUGCCCCUCUAAUUUUGAUUCUGGAGGGUGUGUGUGUGUGUGUGUGUGUGGUUGGUUAUUGCACGGCAAAUAUCCAUCUUAUUUGCGUUGCAUAUUCUGAAUCAAAUUAAGAUUUGUAGGAAUGGAUUUUCAUGAGCUGUUGGACAUUCCACAAGGCGACCGCAGGAAGUAUCAUGAUGAUGUUACAGUUAUGGUGGUAUCUCUUGAGGGAAGAAUCUGGAAGUCGUCCGGAAAAUACCUAUGACACCUCAUUGCUGGCAACAUUUCAACACACCGAGAUAGGCUCUUGUUUGGAUCCCCACCUAAAGUGCCUGCAGGCAGGCUGAGAAUUGGUGAAUAUAACCCGCUUUCAUGGGCCCACAGACUAUUUCAUCUCAGACAAAGCAUGCAGUUGUAGGAAUAGGAAAUUUUUGUAGUUGGGACUGGUAAAAAACUUCUCUGGAGAAAUGAUCUUCAAUGGUGAACUCUUUGCAGAUAUGGAGGGUCUUUUCAUUCAUUUUUUCUUCAUUUUGCUUUGAUUUUAGAACUAGUAUUUAGUUGGUUGGGGGUUCAGUUACAGAGCUUGACAUCUGGCUUUUGUUGAAUCUGAGAAUCUGUAAUUUUGAAGGUGGAUUUCCACCCAUUCGGUUUAUAAAGAAAAAUAUUCAAUUGAAAACCGUGUGCUAUUUCCUUCAA